Molecule: long non-coding RNA, 842 nt
Filed under: Elaeis guineensis (African oil palm)
Lineage: Eukaryota; Viridiplantae; Streptophyta; Magnoliopsida; Arecales; Arecaceae
Description: long non-coding RNA (EGUI_LNC080326)
Source: RNAcentral
GGAUGCAACAGACUGAUAGCGACGUUUGUAACGGCCUGGUAGUGGGUCGUUCAAGGCCAUAAGAAGUUUGUUGCGGAGAGUAGUGGCGUCAGGGGCUAUUCAAAGCCACAUGGAGCUUGUCGCGGGGAGUGUAGUGUUUGUUGUCGUGACUUGCCAGAGAGUGGUGGAGCCACACGGAAUCCAUCACAGGAAGUGGAGCAGAGUCGUGGCCAUUACUGUGGCCUGUCAGGGAGUCCAGGCCUAUCAGUCGAAGCUCGGUUGAGGUGUCCGACAGAGAGAGGUAGCUCGCCAUCUGAGAGGAGCUCGGAUGUUGCUGGUGAGCCCUCCACCGUUGGGUGCCUUGGGUGCUAGUACUACAGGAGAGGGUCAUUUCUUGUAGGAGCUCGAUCAGAGGCUUUCCAUAGAUGAAGUUCGGUUUCAUGUAGAAUUCGGUUGAAGGUCGAUCGGUAGUGGAUGUUGGAUGGCACUGGAGAGGUUCAUCUGCUGAAGGGGUUCGACUGCUGGAGUCCGUGUGUCAUAGGAGUUCGUCCGGAACCUGUCCGCUAAAGAAGUUCGGUCGGAGUCUGGUCUCCGUAGAAGUCCGGAUGGGGAUCAUUUGUCAAGGAAGCUCGGUCGAAGCCUGCAUGCAAUAGAAGUUCGAAAGGAGUUCGCUCACAAUAGAAGCUCAAGUGGAGGCUUACAGUAGAAAUCCGAUGUGGACCGCUCGUAGUAGAAAUUUGGAGCAGACCGCUGGUAGUGGUAGCUCGGAGCAGACCGCUUGUGGUAGAAGUUUGGAGUAGACCGCUUGUGGUGGGGGCCCGGAGUCCGACCCUUGCCAGAAUUCGGAUGAGGCCCACCUGCGA